UGGGGAAUUUGGACAAUGGGCGAAAGCCUGAUCCAGCAAUGCCGCGUGUGUGAAGAAGGCCUUCGGGUUGUAAAGCACUUUUGUCCGGAAAGAAAUCCUUGGCUCUAAUACAGUCGGGGGAUGACGGUACCGGAAGAAUAAGCACCGGCUAACUACGUGCCAGCAGCCGCGGUAAUACGUAGGGUGCAAGCGUUAAUCGGAAUUACUGGGCGUAAAGCGUGCGCAGGCGGUUUGCUAAGACCGAUGUGAAAUCCCCGGGCUCAACCUGGGAACUGCAUUGGUGACUGGCAGGCUAGAGUAUGGCAGAGGGGGGUAGAAUUCCACGUGUAGCAGUGAAAUGCGUAGAGAUGUGGAGGAAUACCGAUGGCGAAGGCAGCCCCCUGGGCAAUACUGACGCUCAUGCACGAAAGCGUGGGGAGCAAACAGGAUUAGAUACCCUGGUAGUCCACGCCCUAAACGAUGUCAACUAGUUGUUGGGGAUUCAUUUCCUUAGUAACGUAGCUAACGCGUGAAGUUGACCGCCUGGGGAGUACGGUCGCAAGAUUAAAACUCAAAGGAAUUGACGGGGUCAUAGCUG
This 577-nucleotide ribosomal RNA is filed under the name uncultured bacterium. Its description in RNAcentral is "partial 16S ribosomal RNA". It matches the Rfam family "Bacterial small subunit ribosomal RNA", at positions 356 to 932 of the family's 1533-position model. The record is from RNAcentral.